GUGAUGAGAACAGCAGUACCCUGAGGUCUCUGUAUUACCCCCCGGUGAGGAGUGACAGGGUGAAGGAGGGCAAGGAGAACACUGACUACAGCAGCAUCACCCUGGUCUUUCAGAGCCAAGAGGGUGGCCUGCAGGUAAACAAGACACCACUGAAUCCUCUGGUCUUCUAGAACCAAGAGGGUGGCCUGCAGGUAAACAAGACACCACUGAAUCCUCUGGUCUUCUAGAACCAAGAGGGUGGCCUGCAGGUAAACAAGACACCACUGAAUCCUCUGGUCUUCUAGAACCAAGAAGGUGGCCUGCAGGUAAACAAGACACCACUGAAUCCUUUGGUCUUCUAGAACCAAGAGGGUGGCCUGCAGGUAAACAAGACACCACUGAAUCCUCUGGUCUUCUAGAACCAAGAGGGUGACCUGCAGGUUAACAAGACACCACUGAAUCCUCUGGUCUUCUAGAACCAAGAGGGUGGCCUGCAGGUAAACAAGACACCACUGAAUUCUCUGCAGCUUCUAUUAGGG
RNAcentral lists this long non-coding RNA (518 nucleotides) under Salmo salar (Atlantic salmon). Its description in RNAcentral is "lncRNA (ENSSSAG00000089543.1)". The record is from RNAcentral. Lineage: Eukaryota; Metazoa; Chordata; Actinopteri; Salmoniformes; Salmonidae.